Long non-coding RNA from Bos taurus (domestic cattle), 1460 nucleotides. The record is from Ensembl. Lineage: Eukaryota; Metazoa; Chordata; Mammalia; Artiodactyla; Bovidae.
GGGUCAGCCUAGAGCCAGGAACACGCAGCGGACACCCCAGAGCCAAGCUCCGUUUGGUCCCCCAGGCCCUGCCCUGCCUGCCCUGGAGCUCACCCAGCCCCAACCCCGUGCAUCAGCAGUGGCCUGUGGGAUUCCCUUUCCGUUUGACUCCGGGAGGCAGAGGACCAGGCCCACGUCCCCUGCCACACCGGGGCUGUAGCCAUCACAUGUGUUGGGCUCUGGCACAUCACCAGUGAUGCAGCUACUCCUGGCACAUUAACAAACACCCAAAGAGGGAGAAAGAAGGCAGGAGAAGAAGGACAACUGGUACUGCCCAGAGCCAGAGGAAGACUGCUGCCAGCCCACCACACCCUCUCCAGAUGCCCUGUGUGUCCCUCAUUCCUUCUAUUUCUGGGCUCUGGCUUCCUUAUUUUAUCCUCUUUGACAUGCCUCCCUCCUCCUCACUGCUCAGCAAAAGCAUCCUGGAUUUAGAGGCAGCCAAGCUAGAGAGCUCAGGACAAUGCUUGUUGACUUGCACCGGUGCUAAGACACAGUCUACAACAUGAGCACCCUGAUGCACUCACAGCUUUUCAGGGAGGAUGGGAGUGAAAGGCAACAUCACAUACACAAGUAGGCUGUAAGAGGCAGCACAGAUCCAGAAUCAAUAAAAUGGAGAAAAGUAUCUCUCUUGUUCUCAUAAUCUAAUGCUGCAUUGUUCAUUCAACUCGAACUCACGGAGUGCCUGCCUGCUGGGCCAAGAACCUGUUCUAGGUGCUGUGGGCGGAGGGUUGAGCGGUGCUGUUGUGGUGGUGUAGAAGGCAGGUAGUCAAAUAAGAAUAAAAAAUGAAUUAUGGAAUCUGAGUCAGAGAUAAUGACAUUUGUUAUUAGAGAACCAAUUAGGGUUGUGUGGUAGAGAGGUAACGGAGAGGCUGAUUUCAGAUAGGGUGUUCAGAGGCCAUUUCUGAGGAAGGGUCAAUCCUAAAGAAAAUCAACCUGAAUAUUCACUGAUGGACUGAUUCUGAAGCUGAAGCUCCAAUACUUUGACCAUCUGAUCCAAAGAGCCUACUCAUUGGAAAAGACCCUGAUGCUGGGAAAGAUUGAAGGCAGAAGGAGAAGGGGGUGACAGAGGAUGAGAUGGUUGGAUGGCAUCAUCAACUCAACAGACAUGAGUUUGAGCAAGCUCUGGGAGCUGGUGAAGGACAGAGAAGCCUGGCGUGCUGCAGUCCACAGACGUGCAAAGAGCCAGACACAACUGAGCGACUGAGCAACAACAACAUGGAACUGAGACUGAUACGAAGAGAAAACAAGAGGAAGAGCUUUCUGGGUGGAGACGGCUUUCAUGUGGUUUCUACAAAGCCUGUCUGGCACCUUGGCCCAUGGCUGCAGACUUUUCAUCCUUUGCUGAGCUCAGCAUUUAUUGAUCACCUUUUUCUAUGCCAGGUGAUGCUCAGGAUGCAGUUGUGAGCAAGAAAGACAUGGUU